CAAUAGCGUAUAUUAAAGUUGUUGCGGUAAAAAAGCUCGUAGUUGGAUUUCUACCGAAGAUAGCCGGUCGGGUCUUCGACCUUGUAUCUGGUUUUGUCUUUGGUAUCCUCAUAGGGAACGUUUCUGCGCUUUAUUGCGUGGUGCGGUAUCUAUGACUUUUACUUUGAGGAAAUUAGAGUGUUCACGGCAGGCAAACGCCUUGAAUAUAUUAGCAUGGAAUAAUAACAUAGGAUCUUCGUCCUAUUUUGUUGGUUUCUAGGGCUAAGAUAAUGAUUAAUAGGGAUAAUUGGGGGCAUCUGUAUCAACGCGUCAGAGGUGGAAUUCUUGGAUUGCGUUGCGACAAACUACUGCGAAAGCAUUUGCCAAGGAUGGUUUCAUUGA
Molecule: ribosomal RNA, 381 nt
Filed under: uncultured eukaryote
Lineage: Eukaryota
Description: partial 18S ribosomal RNA
Rfam family: Eukaryotic small subunit ribosomal RNA
Source: RNAcentral